This 519-nucleotide ribosomal RNA is filed under the name uncultured bacterium. RNAcentral's name for it is "bacterial SSU rRNA". It matches the Rfam family "Archaeal small subunit ribosomal RNA", at positions 345 to 866 of the family's 1478-position model. The record is from RNAcentral.
AACCUCCGCAAUGUGAGAAAUCGCGACGGGGGGAUCCCAAGUGCCAUUCUUAACGGGAUGGCUUUUCAUUAGUGUAAAGAGCUUUUGGAAUAAGAGCUGGGCAAGACCGGUGCCAGCCGCCGCGGUAACACCGGCAGCUCUAGUGGUAACAAUUUUUAUUGGGCCUAAAGCGUCCGUAGCCGGUUUAAUAAGUCUCUGGUGAAAUCCUGCAGCUUAACUGUGGGAAUUGCUGGAGAUACUAUUAGACUUGAGACCGGGAGAGGUUAGAGGUACUCCCAGGGUAGAGGUGAAAUUCUGUAAUCCUGGGAGGACCGCCUGUUGCGAAGGCGUCUAACUGGAACGGUUCUGACGGUGAGGGACGAAAGUUAGGGGCGCGAACCGGAUUAGAUACCCGGGUAGUCCUAACUGUAACGAUGCGGACUUGGUGUUGGGGUGGCUUUGAGCUGCUUCAGUGCCGAAGGGAAGCUGUUAGUCCGCCGCCUGGGAAGUACGGUCGCAAGACUGAAACUUAAAGGAAUU